UACGGAGGGUGCAAGCGUUAUCCGGAUUCACUGGGUUUAAAGGGCGCGUAGGCGGCCUGAUAAGUCGGGGGUGAAAUGCUGCGGCUUAACCGCAGCACUGCCUUCGAGACUGUCGGGCUUGAGCACGGUAGAGGCAGAUGGAAUUCCCGGUGUAGCGGUGGAAUGCGUAGAGAUCGGGAAGAACAUCGGUGGCGAAGGCGGCUCACUGGCCCGGUACUGACGCUGAGGUGCGAAAGCGUGGGGAGCAAACAGG
RNAcentral lists this ribosomal RNA (253 nucleotides) under uncultured bacterium. RNAcentral describes it as "partial 16S ribosomal RNA". It matches the Rfam family "Bacterial small subunit ribosomal RNA", at positions 524 to 776 of the family's 1533-position model. The record is from RNAcentral.